CAGUAGCCGCGGGAAUACGUAGGUGGCAAGCGUUGUCCGGAAUUAUUGGGCGUAAAGCGCGCGCAGGUGGUUUAAUAAGUCUGAUGUGAAAGCCCCCGGCUCAACCGGGGAGGGUCAUUGGAAACUGGGAAACUUGAGUGCAGAAGAGGAGAGUGGAAUUCCACGUGUAGCGGUGAAAUGCGUAGAGAUGUGGAGGAACACCAGUGGCGAAGGCGACUCUCUGGUCUGUAACUGACGCUGAGGAGCGAAAGCGUGGGGAGCGAACAGGAUUAGAUACCCCAGUAGUCCCUGUCUCUUAUAC
RNAcentral lists this ribosomal RNA (301 nucleotides) under uncultured bacterium. RNAcentral's name for it is "partial 16S ribosomal RNA". It matches the Rfam family "Bacterial small subunit ribosomal RNA", at positions 509 to 807 of the family's 1533-position model. The record is from RNAcentral.